This 691-nucleotide ribosomal RNA is filed under the name uncultured bacterium. RNAcentral describes it as "bacterial SSU rRNA". It matches the Rfam family "Bacterial small subunit ribosomal RNA", at positions 45 to 749 of the family's 1533-position model. The record is from RNAcentral.
UGCUUAACACAUGCAAGUCGAACGAGAACGGUCCUAGCUUGCUAGGAUGUCAGCUAAGUGGCGGACGGGUGAGUAAUGUAUAGUUAAUCUGCCCUUUAGAGAGGAAUAACUACUGGAAACGGUAGCUAAUACCUCAUACUCCUUCUUUUUUAAUAAGAGUUGGGAAAUGUUUUUUCGCUAAAGGAUGAGACUAUAUGGUAUCAGGUAGUUGGUGGGGUAAGAGCCCACCAAGCCAAUGACGCCUAGCUGGUCUGAGAGGAUGAUCGGCCACACUGGAACUGAGACACGGUCCAGACUCCUACGGGAGGCAGCAGUGGGGAAUAUUGCACAAUGGAGGAAACUCUGAUGCAGCAACGCCGCGUGGAGGAUGACACAUUUCGGUGCGUAAACUCCUUUUAUAUGGGAAGAUAAUGACGGUACCAUAUGAAUAAGCACCGGCUAACUCCGUGCCAGCAGCCGCGGUAAUACGGAGGGUGCAAGCGUUACUCGGAAUCACUGGGCGUAAAGCGCGCGCAGGCGGCUAUUUAAGUUGGAUGUGAAAGCCUACGGCUCAACCGUAGAACUGCAUCCAAAACUAUUUAGCUAGAGUGUGGGAGAGGAAGAUGGAAUUAGUUGUGUAGGGGUAAAAUCCGUAGAGAUAACUAGGAAUACCAAAAGCGAANGCAAUCUUCUGGAACAUUACUGACGCUGA